This 549-nucleotide ribosomal RNA is filed under the name uncultured bacterium. RNAcentral describes it as "partial 16S ribosomal RNA". It matches the Rfam family "Bacterial small subunit ribosomal RNA", at positions 355 to 892 of the family's 1533-position model. The record is from RNAcentral.
UGGGGAAUAUUGCACAAUGGGCGCAAGCCUGAUGCAGCCAUGCCGCGUGUGUGAAGAAGGCCUUCGGGUUGUAAAGCACUUUCAGCGAGGAGGAAGGUGGUGAGCUUAAUACGCUCAUCAAUUGACGUUACUCGCAGAAGAAGCACCGGCUAACUCCGUGCCAGCAGCCGCGGUAAUACGGAGGGUGCAAGCGUUAAUCGGAAUUACUGGGCGUAAAGCGCACGCAGGCGGUUUGUUAAGUCAGAUGUGAAAAUCCCCGGGCUCAACCUGGGAACUGCAUUUGAAACUGGCAAGCUAGAGUCUCGUAGAGGGGGGUAGAAUUCCAGGUGUAGCGGUGAAAUGCNGUAGAGUCUGGAGGAAUACCGGUGGCGAAGGCGGCCCCCUGGACGAAGACUGACGCUCAGGUGCCGAAAGCGUGGGGAGCAAACAGGAUUAGANACCCUGGUAAGUCCACGCUGUAAAACGAUGUCGAUUUGGAGGUUGUGCCCUUGAGGCGUGGCUUCCGGAGCUAACGCGUUAAAUCGACCGCCUGGGGAGUACGGCCGCAAG